This 484-nucleotide ribosomal RNA is filed under the name uncultured bacterium. RNAcentral's name for it is "partial 16S ribosomal RNA". It matches the Rfam family "Bacterial small subunit ribosomal RNA", at positions 30 to 507 of the family's 1533-position model. The record is from RNAcentral.
AUUGAACGCUGGCGGCAGGCCUAACACAUGCAAGUCGAGCGGAUGAAGGGAGCUUGCUCCUGGAUUCAGCGGCGGACGGGUGAGUAAUGCCUAGGAAUCUGCCUGGUAGUGGGGGAUAACGUCCGGAAACGGGCGCUAAUACCGCAUACGUCCUGAGGGAGAAAGUGGGGGAUCUUCGGACCUCACGCUAUCAUAUGAGCCUAGGUCGGAUUAGCUAGUUGGUGGGGGAAAGGCCUACCAAGGCGACGAUCCGUAACUGGUCUGAGAGGAUGAUCAGUCACACUGGAACUGAGACGCGGUCCAGACUCCUACGGGAGGCAGCAGUGGGGAAUAUUGGACAAUGGGCGAAAGCAUGAUCCAGCCAUGCCGCGUGUGUGAAGAAGGUCUUCGGAUUGUAAAGCACUUUAAGUUGGGAGGAAGGGCAGUAAGUUAAUACCUUGCUGUUUUGACGUUACCAACAGAAUAAGCACCGGCUAACUUCGUG